RNAcentral lists this ribosomal RNA (243 nucleotides) under uncultured bacterium. Its description in RNAcentral is "partial 16S ribosomal RNA". It matches the Rfam family "Bacterial small subunit ribosomal RNA", at positions 534 to 776 of the family's 1533-position model. The record is from RNAcentral.
GCUAGCGUUGUCCGGAAUCAUUGGGCGUAAAGAGCGUGUAGGCGGUCCGGUAAGUCCGCUGUGAAAGUCGGGGGCUCAACCCUCGAAUGCCGGUGGAUACUGUCGGGCUAGAGUGCGGAAGAGGCGAGUGGAAUUCCUGGUGUAGCGGUGAAAUGCGCAGAUAUCAGGAGGAACACCAAUUGCGAAGGCAGCUCGCUGGGACGUUACUGACGCUGAGACGCGAAAGCGUGGGGAGCAAACAGG